RNAcentral lists this unclassified non-coding RNA (253 nucleotides) under uncultured Bacteroidota bacterium. Its description in RNAcentral is "uncultured Bacteroidetes bacterium contains 16S-23S intergenic spacer region". It matches the Rfam family "Bacterial small subunit ribosomal RNA", at positions 524 to 776 of the family's 1533-position model. The record is from RNAcentral. Lineage: Bacteria; Pseudomonadati; Bacteroidota.
UACGGAGGGUCCAAGCGUUGUCCGGAAUCACUGGGUGUAAAGGGUGCGCAGGCGGGCCUGUAAGUCAGGGGUGAAAGCCAUCGGCUUAACCGAUGAAUUGCCCUUGAUACUGCAGGUCUUGAGUCUCGGAGAGGUUGGCGGAAUUCGUGGUGUAGCGGUGAAAUGCGUAGAUAUCACGAGGAACACCGGAAGUGUAGACGGCCAACUGGACGAGUACUGACGCUGAGGCACGAAAGCGUGGGGAGCGAACAGG